CCUACGGGGGGCAGCAGUGGGGAAUAUUCCGCAAUGGGCGAAAGCCUGACGCAGCGACGCCGCGUGAGCGAUGAAGGUCUUCGGAUCGUAAACCUCUGUCAGCAGGGAAGAACGGUCACUGUGCUAAUCAGCAGUGAAUUGACGGUACCUGCAAAGGAAGCACCGGCUAACUCCGUGCCAGCAGCCGCGGUAAUACGGAGGGUGCGAGCGUUAAUCGGAAUUACUGGGCGUAAAGCGCUCGUAGGCGGUAUGUCAAGUCAAGGGUGAAAUCCCCGGGCUCAACGUGGGAACUGCCUUUGAAACUGGCAAACUGGAGUGUGUGAGAGGAUAGUGGAAUUCCAGGUGUAGGAGUGAAAUGCGUAGAUAUCUGGAGGAACAUCAGUGGCGAAGGCGACUAUCUGGCACAUAACUGACGCUGAGGAGCGAAAGCGUGGGUAGCAAACAGGAUUAGAUACCCUGGUAGUC
This 465-nucleotide ribosomal RNA is filed under the name uncultured bacterium. RNAcentral's name for it is "partial 16S ribosomal RNA". It matches the Rfam family "Bacterial small subunit ribosomal RNA", at positions 338 to 795 of the family's 1533-position model. The record is from RNAcentral.